GAACGAACGCUGGCGGCAGGCUUAACACAUGCAAGUCGAGCGCCCGCAAGGGGAGCGGCAGACGGGUGAGUAACGCGUGGGAAUCUACCUAUCACUACGGAACAACUCCGGGAAACUGGAGCUAAUACCGUAUACGUCCGAGAGGAGAAAGAUUUAUCGGUGAUAGAUGAGCCCGCGUUGGAUUAGCUAGUUGGUGGGGUAAUGGCCUACCAAGGCGACGAUCCAUAGCUGGUCUGAGAGGAUGAUCAGCCACACUGGGACUGAGACACGGCCCAGACUCCUACGGGAGGCAGCAGUGGGGAAUAUUGGACAAUGGGCGAAAGCCUGAUCCAGCCAUGCCGCGUGAGUGAUGAAGGCCUUAGGGUUGUAAAGCUCUUUCACCGGUGAAGAUAAUGACGGUAACCGGAGAAGAAGCCCCGGCUAACUUCGUG
Molecule: ribosomal RNA, 431 nt
Filed under: uncultured bacterium
Lineage: Bacteria
Description: bacterial SSU rRNA
Rfam family: Bacterial small subunit ribosomal RNA
Source: RNAcentral